Molecule: ribosomal RNA, 460 nt
Filed under: uncultured bacterium
Lineage: Bacteria
Description: partial 16S ribosomal RNA
Rfam family: Bacterial small subunit ribosomal RNA
Source: RNAcentral
CCUACGGGUGGCAGCAGUGAGGAAUAUUGGUCAAUGGGCGCGAGCCUGAACCAGCCAAGUAGCGUGAAGGAUGACUGCCCUACGGGUUGUAAACUUCUUUUGUAAAGGAAUAAAUUGAGCCACGUGUGCCUUUCUGUAGGUACUUUAUGAAUAAGGAUCGGCUAACUCCGUGCCAGCAGCCGCGGUAAUACGGAGGAUCCGAACGUUUUCCGGAUUUAUUGGGUUUAAAGGGAGCGUAGAUGGGUUGUUAAGUUAGUUGUGAAAGUUUGCGGCUCAACCGGACAAUUGCCAUUGAUACUGGCGGCCUUGAGUACAGUUGAGGUAGGCGGAAUGCGUGGUGUAGCGGUGAAAUGCUUAGAGAUCACGAAGAACUCCGAUUGCGAAGGCAGCUUACUAACCUGCCACUGACGUUGAUGCACGAAAGUGUGGGUAUCAAACAGGAUUAGAUACCCGUGUAGUC